This 253-nucleotide ribosomal RNA is filed under the name uncultured bacterium. Its description in RNAcentral is "partial 16S ribosomal RNA". It matches the Rfam family "Bacterial small subunit ribosomal RNA", at positions 524 to 776 of the family's 1533-position model. The record is from RNAcentral.
UACGGAGGGUGCAAGCGUUGUCCGGAAUCAUUGGGUGUAAAGGGUGUGCAGGCGGGGCUGUACGUCAGUGGUGAAAGCCCACGGCUCAACCGUGGAAUGGCCAUUGAUACUGCAGUCCUUGAGUGCUGGAGAGGUCACUGGUAUUCGUGGUGUAGCGGUGAAAUGCGUAGAUAUCACGAGGAACACCAUUGGCGUAGGCGAGUGGCUGGACGGCAACUGACGCUGAGGCGCGAAAGCGUGGGGAUCAAACAGG